This 245-nucleotide ribosomal RNA is filed under the name uncultured bacterium. RNAcentral describes it as "partial 16S ribosomal RNA". It matches the Rfam family "Bacterial small subunit ribosomal RNA", at positions 524 to 768 of the family's 1533-position model. The record is from RNAcentral.
GACAGAGGUGGCAAGCGUUGUUCGGAUUUAUUGGGCGUAAAGAGCGCGUAGGCGGUCUUUUAAGUCGGUGGUGAAAUCCCGGGGCUUAACCCCGGCACUGCCUCCGAUACUGGAAGACUUGAGUGCGGGAGAGGAUAGUGGAAUUCCCAGUGUAGAGGUGAAAUUCGUAGAUAUUGGGAAGAACACCAGUGGCGAAGGCAGCUGUCUGGACCGCAACUGACGCUGAGGCGCGAAAGCGUGGGGAG